CGAACGCUGGCGGCGUGCUUACCACAUGCAAGUCGACCGGAAAGGCCUGCUUUCCCUUGUGGAUUGCGGGUACUCGAGUGGCGAACGGGUGGGUAACACGUGAGUGAUCUGCCCCCAACUUGGGUAUAAGCCUGGGAAACUGGGUCUAAUUCCCGAUAGGACUGCAGGGUGGUGCCUGUGGUGGAAAACGAUUUUCUAGUGGUUGGGGAUGAGCUCGCGGCCUAUCAGCUUGUUGGUGGGGUAAUGGCCUACCAAGGCGGCGACGGGUAGCCGGCCUGAGAGGGUGGACGGCCACAUUGGGACUGAGAUACGGCCCAGACUCCUACGGGAGGCAGCAGUGGGGAAUAUUGCACAAUGGGCGGAAGCCUGAUGCAGCGACGCCGCGUGGGGGAUGACGGCCUUCGGGUUGUAAACUCCUUUCGACCGCGAGGAAGCCACCUGGUUGGAAGGGUGGUGACGGUAGUGGUAGAAGAAGCACCGGCUAACUACGUG
This 492-nucleotide ribosomal RNA is filed under the name uncultured bacterium. RNAcentral's name for it is "partial 16S ribosomal RNA". It matches the Rfam family "Bacterial small subunit ribosomal RNA", at positions 30 to 507 of the family's 1533-position model. The record is from RNAcentral.